CCGAGUUUACGACUCCCAAACCCCUGUGAACAUACCACUAUGUUGCCUCGGCGGAUCAGCCCGCUCCCGGUAAAACGGGACGGCCCGCCAGCAGGAUCCACUAAACUCUGUUUUAUAUGUAACUUCUGAGUAACAAACAAAUAAAUCA
Molecule: unclassified non-coding RNA, 148 nt
Filed under: soil metagenome
Description: partial internal transcribed spacer 1
Source: RNAcentral